UACGAAGGGGGCUAGCGUUGCUCGGAAUCACUGGGCGUAAAGCGCACGUAGGCGGCUUUGUAAGUCAGGGGUGAAAUCCUGGAGCUCAACUCCAGAACUGCCCUUGAUACUGGGAAGCUCGAGUCCGGAAGAGGUGAGUGGAACUCCGAGUGUAGAGGUGAAAUUCGUAGAUAUUCGGAAGAACACCAGUGGCGAAGGCGGCUCACUGGUCCGGUACUGACGCUGAGGUGCGAAAGCGUGGGGAGCAAACAGG
Molecule: ribosomal RNA, 253 nt
Filed under: uncultured bacterium
Lineage: Bacteria
Description: partial 16S ribosomal RNA
Rfam family: Bacterial small subunit ribosomal RNA
Source: RNAcentral